This 468-nucleotide ribosomal RNA is filed under the name uncultured bacterium. RNAcentral describes it as "partial 16S ribosomal RNA". It matches the Rfam family "Bacterial small subunit ribosomal RNA", at positions 28 to 507 of the family's 1533-position model. The record is from RNAcentral.
GACGAACGCUGGCGGCGUGCUUAAUACAUGCAAGUCGAACGGAAAGGCCCUGCUUUUGUGGGGUGUUCGAGUGGCGAACGGGCGAGUAACACGUGAGUAACCUGCCCUUGACUUUGGGAUAACUUCAGGAAACUGGGGCUAAUACCGGAUAGGAGCUCCUGCCGCAUGGUGGGGGUUGGAAAGUUUCGGCGGUUCGGGAUGGACUCGCGGCUUAUCAGCUUGUUGGUGGGGUAGUGGCUUACCAAGGCUUUGACGGGUAGCCGGCCUGGGAGGGUGACCGGGGACAUAGGGACUGAGGGACGGACCAGAAGGGAACGGGAGGCAGCGGAGGGGAAUAUUGCAGAGUGGGCGGAAGCGUGAUGCAGCAACGCCGCGUGCGUGAUGCAGGCCUUCGGGUGAUAAACCGCUUUCGCAUGUGACGAAGCGUGAGUGACGGUAAUGGGUAAAGAAGCACCGGCUAACUACGUG